AGUGAACGCUGGCGGUAGGCCUAACACAUGCAAGUCGAACGGCAGCACAGGAGAGCUUGCUCUCUGGGUGGCGAGUGGCGGACGGGUGAGGAAUACAUCGGAAUCUACUCUGUCGUGGGGGAUAACGUAGGGAAACUUACGCUAAUACCGCAUACGACCUACGGGUGAAAGCAGGGGAUCUUCGGACCUUGCGCGAUUGAAUGAGCUGAUGUCGGAUUAGUUAGUUGGCGGGGUAAAGGCCCACCAAGGCGACGAUCCGUAGCUGGUCUGAGGGGAUGAUCAGCCACACUGGAACUGAGACACGGGCCAGACUCCUACGGGAGGCAGCAGUGGGGAAUAUUGGACAAUGGGCGCAAGCCUGAUCCAGCCAUACCGCGUGGGUGAAGAAGGCCUUCGGGUUGUAAAGCCCUUUUGUUGGGAAAGAAAUCCAGCUGGCUAAUACCCGGUUGGGAUGACGGUACCCAAAGAAUAAGCACCGGCUAACUUCGUGCCAGCCGCCGCCGUAA
Molecule: ribosomal RNA, 506 nt
Filed under: uncultured bacterium
Lineage: Bacteria
Description: partial 16S ribosomal RNA
Rfam family: Bacterial small subunit ribosomal RNA
Source: RNAcentral